AGAGUUUGAUCCUGGCUCAGAAUCAACGCUGGCGGCGUGCCUAACACAUGCAAGUCGAACGAGAAAGUGGAGCAAUCCAUGAGUAAAGUGGCGCACGGGUGAGUAACACGUGACUAACCUACCCUUGAGUGGGGGAUAACCUAGGGAAACCUGGGCUAAUACCGCAUAAUACCCACGGGUCAAAGCAGCAAUGCGCUUAAGGAGGGGGUCGCGGCCGAUUAGCUAGUUGGCGGGGUAAUGGCCCACCAAGGCAGUGAUCGGUAUCCGGCCUGAGAGGGCGCACGGACACACUGGAACUGAAACACGGUCCAGACUCCUACGGGAGGCAGCAGUGGGGAAUUUUGCGCAAUGGGGGAAACCCUGACGCAGCAACGCCGCGUGGAGGAUGAAGUCCCUUGGGACGUAAACUCCUUUCGAUCGGGACGAUAAUGACGGUACCGGAAGAAGAAGCCCCGGCUAACUUCGUGCCAGCAGCCGCGGUAAU
Molecule: ribosomal RNA, 484 nt
Filed under: uncultured Acidobacteriaceae bacterium
Lineage: Bacteria; Pseudomonadati; Acidobacteriota; Terriglobia; Terriglobales; Acidobacteriaceae
Description: bacterial SSU rRNA
Rfam family: Bacterial small subunit ribosomal RNA
Source: RNAcentral